UCUUACCGAAAAAACUUCCAAAUUUGUACACGUGAUUUGGUUCACUCAAUACAGAAUAUCCGAAGUAUGGUGCCAAGUGAAAGAUAUCCCCAGUGUCGUCAGGUUUUACGGGUUUUACGGGUUUUACGUGUCUAAUAAGGCUGCCAUAGGCCGUCAAAGGUGGGUGAUGUGCUAUGUCCAACCCAGAAUUAAUAUUUCCACUCAACACUUGUCCAGUCUCAACAUGGUGAUUAACAGUCAGAUAAUGACCAUAUACAGUCGACAAGAGAAUAGCAAAUAUUAGCAGUUGGUGCAUCCUGUUCGUAGAAGUUUACAUAAAUAAUGAUUUUAUUUUUUAGCAUAUAUUUCAUUCCUAUUUGUCACUUCAGAAGUUC
Molecule: long non-coding RNA, 374 nt
Filed under: Mytilus galloprovincialis (Mediterranean mussel)
Lineage: Eukaryota; Metazoa; Mollusca; Bivalvia; Mytilida; Mytilidae
Source: RNAcentral